Molecule: non-coding RNA, 115 nt
Organism: Triticum urartu
Lineage: Eukaryota; Viridiplantae; Streptophyta; Magnoliopsida; Poales; Poaceae
Source: Rfam
AAUAUACUCCCUCCGUUUGGAAUUACUUGUCGCAAGUAUAAAUGUAUCUAGAUGUAUUUUAGUUCUAGAUACAUCCAUUUCUGCGAUGAGUAAUUUAGAACGGAGGGAGUCACUU